This 253-nucleotide ribosomal RNA is filed under the name uncultured bacterium. Its description in RNAcentral is "partial 16S ribosomal RNA". It matches the Rfam family "Bacterial small subunit ribosomal RNA", at positions 524 to 776 of the family's 1533-position model. The record is from RNAcentral.
UACGUAGGGUGCAAGCGUUGUCCGGAAUUACUGGGCGUAAAGAGCUCGUAGGUGGUUUGUCGCGUUGUUCGUGAAAACUCACAACUCAAUUGUGGGCGUGCGGGCGAUACGGGCAGACUUGAGUACUGCAGGGGAGACUGGAAUUCCUGGUGUAGCGGUGGAAUGCGCAGAUAUCAGGAAGAACACCCGUGGCGAAAGCGGCUCUCUGGAACGGUACUGACGCUGAGACGCGAAAGCGUGGGGAGCGAACAGG